This 237-nucleotide long non-coding RNA is filed under the name Helianthus annuus (common sunflower). RNAcentral's name for it is "sRNA HanXRQr2_Chr16g0765091". Lineage: Eukaryota; Viridiplantae; Streptophyta; Magnoliopsida; Asterales; Asteraceae. The record is from RNAcentral.
GGUGUGAUCUCUAGUAGGCACUGCAGAUGACAUAAGGAUUGCGAGGCAUUCGCAUUGUCGUUGUAGGGCCGCCACCCACCGUUGUGCACCGAAUCCCAUCCCAGCACGGAUCAACGGGCGGUAUAGCUCGUGAACAAUGCCUUCAUCAUAUUCUGCAUGUUCCACCCAUGUAACCUAAAUAGCCAUUCGGCAUAUCUUGAACAACACAACCCGAUGGUAGCCUUCGACAACUCAUAA